Limulus polyphemus (Atlantic horseshoe crab) is the source of this 328-nucleotide long non-coding RNA. RefSeq lists it as uncharacterized. Lineage: Eukaryota; Metazoa; Arthropoda; Merostomata; Xiphosura; Limulidae. The transcript has 3 exons. The record is from RefSeq and is a predicted model, not a curated record.
AUUAGUACCACAGUAGUAGUGUUGGUUAAGAGUUUAGUUUGCCGUAUUUAAAUUCUUAGAUGAAAACCGAAGCGAAAGGAAAAGAUCUGUGACUAGAAGGAGUUUGUGUUUGCUUACAUGGCAAUUCUUUAAAGUACUGCUGGAAAACUUCACUCUUUGUCUGACACGUCAUCCAACUACUCUUGGGUUUAGAAUAUGCUUCAAAAGCCAAAUGUGAUUCAGAAAUGAAUGUUUUUUCUCAGAUAAAGCCAACUGAAAAGAUGCGUUAACUCUGAAGUAACAUCAUGGGCAACAUACACACUGUUGGACCAAAUGAAGUUCUCUUUGU